RNAcentral lists this ribosomal RNA (912 nucleotides) under uncultured bacterium. Its description in RNAcentral is "bacterial SSU rRNA". It matches the Rfam family "Bacterial small subunit ribosomal RNA", at positions 8 to 916 of the family's 1533-position model. The record is from RNAcentral.
AGAGUUUGAUCCUGGCUCAGGAUGAACGCUAGCGGCAGGCUUAAUACAUGCAAGUCGAGGGGCAGCACGGGUAGCAAUACCUGGUGGCGACCGGCAAACGGGUGCGGAACACGUACACAACCUUCCUUUUAGUGUGGGAUAGCCCAGAGAAAUUUGGAUUAAUACCACAUAGUAAAUCGAAAAGGCAUCUUUUUGAUUUUAAAGAUUUAUCGCUAAAAGAUGGGUGUGCGUAUGAUUAGGUAGUUGGUAGAGGUAACGGCUCACCAAGCCUUCGAUCAUUAACUGGUGUGAGAGCACGACCAGUCACACGGGCACUGAGACACGGGCCCGACUCCUACGGGAGGCAGCAGUAAGGAAUAUUGGUCAAUGGACGCAAGCCUGAACCAGCCAUGCCGCGUGAAGGAUGACUGCCCUCUGGGUUGUAAACUUCUUUUAUCUGGGACGAAAAAGGGCCAUUCUUGGUCAACUGACGGUACCAGAGGAAUAAGCACCGGCUAACUCCGUGCCAGCAGCCGCGGUAAUACGGAGGGUGCAAGCGUUAUCCGGAUUUACUGGGUUUAAAGGGAGCGCAGGCGGAUUAGUAAGUCAGUGGUGAAAGCCUUGAGCUUAACUCGAGAACUGCCAUUGAUACUAUUAGUCUUGAAUGUUGUUGAGGUUUGCGGAAUGGGUCAUGUAGCGGUGAAAUGCAUAGAUAUGACCCGGAACACCUAUUGCGAAGGCAGCAGGCUAAACAAAUAUUGACGCUGAGGCUCGAAAGCGUGGGGAUCAAACAGGAUUAGAUACCCUGGUAGUCCACGCCCUAAACGAUGAUUACUCGACAUACGUGAUAUGACAAUGUGUGUCUGAGCGAAAGCAUUAAGUAAUCCACCUGGGAAGUACGACCGCAAGGUUGAAACUCAAAGGAAUUGACGG